AUGCUCAUUUUGGCAGCACAUAUGCUAAAAUUGAAACUACACAGAGAAGAUUAGCAUGGCCCAUGCACAAGGAUGACACACAAAUUUGUGAAGUGUUUGAUAUUUUU
RNAcentral lists this small nuclear RNA (107 nucleotides) under Carlito syrichta (Philippine tarsier). Lineage: Eukaryota; Metazoa; Chordata; Mammalia; Primates; Tarsiidae. The record is from RNAcentral.